RNAcentral lists this non-coding RNA (23 nucleotides) under Mus musculus (house mouse). Lineage: Eukaryota; Metazoa; Chordata; Mammalia; Rodentia; Muridae. The record is from RNAcentral.
UUAACACCGAAUGGAUCUUCUGG